CAGUUGGGAAAGGAAGGAUGCCUGCGGAUGACCUUGUGUGCAUUUCUUACACCAGCCUGUCAUUCUGAGCCCCUGUUGCAGAGAUGCUUGUCCCCUGGCAAGGAUGGGCAGGAGAAAAAUCCAGAUUGGGGGUUAAGCUGAACAGAGGAAGAAAAAAGACUGUGGAAAGUUUGUUCAAUGUUUUGACUAGAGAUCCCUGUGCUUUUCAGGUGAUAUUAAGGAGAAGAGAAUUUGCACACACAAAAAGAAAAGAGGUAAAAUUUUAAAACAAUGGCAAUGAACUCUAUUUUUGGGGAAGCUGAUACACACACAAAGAGGUCCUCCUUGCAGAGACCUACCCCCAAUGUGCAAAUCUUUCUGGGCUCCGAAAUAACCCAUUUCUUUUCUUGUUUGCCUCGGUGUUUUUCUUUUUCUCACCUGAUGGCUACACCUGAUUUAUGGGAUCCAAUGUGUUAGUGAAAUAUUUGUCAUUGCAUUUUUGUAUUCCUGAACUCAGUUUUAUUAUUGAUGUGUGAGGGUGCACCAUCAUUCUGAAUUCAAUUUUGAACCCAAUAUUGAAGUUAUUAAGAUCUGUUUCCAUUCCAACUUUGGGAAAUUUUAUCCUGAGGCAUACAAAAAGUAUUUUAAUUUUAAGCAUACAAAAACAUAUAAAGAAGCAUCAUAUUGCCUGCAUGAACAGGCUUUUUAAAAAAUGUUGUGUCUUCACAUAGAAACCAGGAACAAGGAAUGCAUGACGAAAUCUUUGUUGAGUAAGAAACAAAAAUAAAAAUAAAAAUAAAAAACCCACACGUUGUCAUCUAAGCAUUGAGCAUUUUCUUGAUUUUUACAGGUUAUUUCAUGCUGAAAUUAUGCCUAUUUGCAUGGAUAGUCAUUCUUUAAAACUAGUCACAGAUGCAGUCCUAGGGAGCACGUAGAUGUUUUUACAGGUGAACCGAAAGAGAUG
This 943-nucleotide long non-coding RNA is filed under the name Lynx pardinus (Iberian lynx). Lineage: Eukaryota; Metazoa; Chordata; Mammalia; Carnivora; Felidae. The record is from RNAcentral.